Molecule: ribosomal RNA, 447 nt
Filed under: uncultured bacterium
Lineage: Bacteria
Description: bacterial SSU rRNA
Rfam family: Bacterial small subunit ribosomal RNA
Source: RNAcentral
UCCAGACUCCUACGGGAGGCAGCAGUGGGGAAUAUUGCACAAUGGGGGAAACCCUGAUGCAGCGACGCCGCGUGAGCGAUGAAGUAUUUCGGUAUGUAAAGCUCUAUCAGCAGGGAAGAAGAUGACGGUACCUGACUAAGAAGCCCCGGCUAACUACGUGCCAGCAGCCGCGGUAAUACGUAGGGGGCAAGCGUUAUCCGGAUUUACUGGGUGUAAAGGGGGCGCAGACGGCAGCGCAAGCCAGGAGUGAAAGCCCGGGGCCCAACCCCGGGACUGCUCUUGGAACUGCGCGGCUGGAGUGCAGGAGGGGCAGGCGGAAUUCCUGGUGUAGCGGUGAAAUGCGUAGAUAUCAGGAGGAACACCAGUGGCGAAGGCGGCUUACUGGACUGUAACUGACGUUGAGGCUCGAAAGCGUGGGGAGCAAACAGGAUUAGAUACCCCAGUACC